CGGUUCCUACGGGACGCAGCAGUAGGGAAUCUUCCACAAUGGACGAAAGUCUGAUGGAGCAACGCCGCGUGAGUGAAGAAGGGUUUCGGCUCGUAAAGCUCUGUUGGUAGUGAAGAAAGAUAGAGGUAGUAACUGGCCUUUAUUUGACGGUAAUUACUUAGAAAGUCACGGCUAACUACGUGCCAGCAGCCGCGGUAAUACGUAGGUGGCAAGCGUUGUCCGGAUUUAUUGGGGGUAAAGGGUGCGUAGACGGAAGAACAAGUUGGUUGUGAAAUCCCUCGGCUCAACUGAGGAACUGCAACCAA
Molecule: ribosomal RNA, 305 nt
Filed under: uncultured bacterium
Lineage: Bacteria
Description: bacterial SSU rRNA
Rfam family: Bacterial small subunit ribosomal RNA
Source: RNAcentral